RNAcentral lists this ribosomal RNA (879 nucleotides) under uncultured bacterium. Its description in RNAcentral is "bacterial SSU rRNA". It matches the Rfam family "Bacterial small subunit ribosomal RNA", at positions 505 to 1397 of the family's 1533-position model. The record is from RNAcentral.
GUGCCAGCAGCCGCGGUAAUACGGAGGAUCCGACGUUAUCCGGAUUUAUUGGGUUUAAAGGGUGCGCAGGCGGUCGAUUAAGUCAGUGGUCAAAUCACGGUGCUCAACGCCGUUCCGCCAUUGAUACUGGUUGACUUGAUUCCGGUCGAGGCAGGCGGAAUUCGUAGUGUAGCGUGAAAUGCAUAGAUAUUACGAAGAACUCCGAUUGCGUAGGCAGCUUACCAGGCCGGCAAUGACGCUCAUGCACGAAAGUCGGGGAUCGAACAGAUUAGAUGCCCUGUAGUCCGCACAGUAAACGAUGAAUACUUGUUCUCGGCGAUAGAAUGUCGGGGGCAAAGCGAAAGCAAUAAGUAUUCCACCUGGGAGUACGCCGGCAACGGUGAAACUCAAAGGAAUUGACGGGGGCCCGCACAAGCGGAGGAACAUGUGGUUUAAUUCGAUGCUACGCGAGGAACCUUACCCGGGCUUGAAAGUUAGCGACGAGGAUGGAAACAUCCUUUCCCUUCGGGGCGCGAAACUAGGUGCUGCAUGGUUGUCGUCAGCUCGUGCCGUGAGGUGUCGGCUUAAGUGCCAUAACGAGCGCAACCCUUUUCUCCAGUUGCCAUCAUUCGGUUGGGGACUCUGGAGACACUGCCAUCGUAAGAUGCGAGGAAGGAUGGGAUGACGUCAAAUCAGCACGGCCCUUACGUCCGGGGCGACACACGUGUUACAAUGGGGAGGACAGAGAGCUGCGACCUGGUGACAGGAAGCGAAUCUACAAACCUUCUCCCAGUUCGGAUCGGAGUCUGCAACCCGACUCCGUGAAGCUGGAUUCGCUAGUAAUCGCGCAUCAGCCAUGGCGCGGUGAAUACGUUCCCGGGCCUUGUACACACCGCCCGU